Molecule: ribosomal RNA, 669 nt
Filed under: uncultured Haplosporidia
Lineage: Eukaryota; Endomyxa; Ascetosporea; Haplosporida
Description: SSU rRNA
Rfam family: Eukaryotic small subunit ribosomal RNA
Source: RNAcentral
GGACUCGGGGGGAAGUAUGCUUGCAAGAGUGAAAUUUAAAGGAAUUGACGGAAAGGCACCACCAGGAGUGGAGCCUGCGGCUCAAUUUGACUCAACACGGGAAAACUUACCAGGCCAGGACAUAGUGAGGAUUGACAGAUUAAAGGUCUUUCUUGAUUCUAUGAAUAGUAGCGCAUGGCCGUUCUUAGUUGGUGGAGUGAUUUGUCUGGUUAAUUCCGAUAACGAACGAGACCCCAGCCAUCUAACUAGCCGUCGCUAGCCCGCUAGCGCUUGGUUUACCAAGUUCGGCUUCUUAGAGGGACCAACUGUGUUCAGCAGUGGGAAGUGUGGGGCAAUAACAGGUCAGUGAUGCUCUUAUAAGGUCUGGGCUGCACGCGUGCUACAAUGGUGCAUCCAGCGAGUUCAACCUUCCCCGAAAGGGAUGGGUAACCUUUAACGUGCGCCAAAGUGGGGAUAGACGAUUGUAAUUAUUCGUCUUGAACUAGGAACUCCUAGUAAACGCAAGUCAUCAUCUUGCAUUGAUUACGUCCCUGCCCUUUGUACACACCGCCCGUCGCUCCUACCGAUCGAAUAAUAUGGUGAACUGAGUGGAGGCAGGCACUUCUUAUGUUGUGCUUGCAGAAGCUUCGUGAACCUUGUUAUUUAGAGGAAGGACAAGUCGUAACAAGG